GCGCACGCUGGCGGCAGGCCUAACACAUGCAAGUCGAACGGAUCCUUCGGGAUUAGUGGCGGACGGGUGAGUAACACGUGGGAACGUGCCCUUUGGUUCGGAACAACUCAGGGAAACUUGAGCUAAUACCGGAUGUGCCCUUCGGGGGAAAGAUUUAUCGCCAUUGGAGCGGCCCGCGUCUGAUUAGCUAGUUGGUGAGGUAACGGCCCACCAAGGCGACGAUCAGUAGCUGGUCUGAGAGGAUGAUCAGCCACACUGGGACUGAGACACGGCCCAGACUCCUACGGGAGGCAGCAGUGGGGAAUCUUGCGCAAUGGGCGAAAGCCUGACGCAGCCAUGCCGCGUGAAUGAUGAAGGUCUUAGGAUUGUAAAAUUCUUUCAGCGGGGACGAUAAUGACGGUACCCGCAGAAGAAGCUCCGGCUAACUUCGU
Molecule: ribosomal RNA, 431 nt
Filed under: uncultured bacterium
Lineage: Bacteria
Description: partial 16S ribosomal RNA
Rfam family: Bacterial small subunit ribosomal RNA
Source: RNAcentral